This 404-nucleotide unclassified non-coding RNA is filed under the name soil metagenome. RNAcentral's name for it is "partial contains 5.8S ribosomal RNA, internal transcribed spacer 2, and large subunit ribosomal RNA". The stretch from base 1 to 122 matches the Rfam family "5.8S ribosomal RNA", at positions 35 to 154 of the family's 154-position model. The record is from RNAcentral.
GAUGAAGAACGUAGCAAAAUGCGAUACUUGGUGUGAAUUGCAGAAUCCCGUGAACCAUCGAGUUUUUGAACGCAAGUUGCGCCCGAAGCCUUUUGGCCGAGGGCACGUCUGCCUGGGCGUCACGCAUCGCGUCGCCCCCCACAAUUCUCUGUAAAGGGAACUCGUGUUUUGGGGGCGGAUAUUGGUCUCCCGUGCUCAUGACGUGGUUGGCCGAAAUAGGAGUCCCUUCGAUGGACGCACGAACUAGUGGUGGUCGUAAAAACCCUCGUCUUUUGUUUCGUGCUGUUAGUCGCAAGGGAAACUCUAAGAAAACCCCAACGUGUCGUCUUUUGACGGCGCUUCGACCGCGACCCCAGGUCAGGCGGGACUACCCGCUGAGUUUAAGCAUAUCAAUAAGCGGAGGA